GACAGAGGAUGCAAGCGUUAUCCGGAAUGAUUGGGCGUAAAGCGUCUGUAGGUGGUUCAAAAAGUCUACUGUCAAAUACGUUGGCUCAACCAACGGCAGGCAUUAGAGUACUAUUGAACUAGAGUGUGGUAGAGGUAGAGGGAAUCCCUAGCGUAACAGUGAAAUGUGUAGAUUUUAGGGAGAACACCAGCGGCGAAGGCGCUCUACUGGGCCAUUACUGACACUGAGAGACGAAAGCUAAGGGAGCGAAAGGG
RNAcentral lists this ribosomal RNA (254 nucleotides) under uncultured bacterium. Its description in RNAcentral is "partial 16S ribosomal RNA". It matches the Rfam family "Bacterial small subunit ribosomal RNA", at positions 524 to 776 of the family's 1533-position model. The record is from RNAcentral.